UACGUAGGGUGCAAGCGUUAAUCGGAAUUACUGGGCGUAAAGCGUGCGCAGGCGGUGAUGUAAGACAGGUGUGAAAUCCCCGGGCUUAACCUGGGAACUGCAUUUGUGACUGCAUCGCUGGAGUGCGGCAGAGGGGGAUGGAAUUCCUGGUGUAGCAGUGAAAUGCGUAGAUAUCAGGAGGAACACCGAUGGCGAAGGCAGGUCUCUGGGCUGACACUGACGCUCAUGCACGAAAGCGUGGGGAGCAAACAGG
Molecule: ribosomal RNA, 253 nt
Filed under: uncultured bacterium
Lineage: Bacteria
Description: partial 16S ribosomal RNA
Rfam family: Bacterial small subunit ribosomal RNA
Source: RNAcentral